Molecule: ribosomal RNA, 1346 nt
Filed under: uncultured bacterium
Lineage: Bacteria
Description: bacterial SSU rRNA
Rfam family: Bacterial small subunit ribosomal RNA
Source: RNAcentral
GACGAACGCUGGCUGCGUGCUUAACACAUGCAAGUCGAACGGAAAGGCCCUGCUUUUGUGGGGUGCUCGAGUGGCGAACGGGUGAGUAACACGUGAGUAACCUGCCCUUGACUUUGGGAUAACUUCAGGAAACUGGGGCUAAUACCGGAUAGGAGCUCCUGCUGCAUGGUGGGGGUUGGAAAGUUUCGGCGGUUGGGGAUGGACUCGCGGCUUAUCAUCUUGUUGGUGGGGUAGUGGCUUACCAAGGCUUUGACGGGUAGCCGGCCUGAGAGGGUGACCGGCCACAUUGGGACUGAGAUACAGCCCACACUCCUACGGGAGGCAGCAGUGGGGAAUAUUGCACAAUGGGCGGAAGCCUGAUGCAACAACGCCGCGUGCGGGAUGACAGCCUUCGGGUUGUAAACCGCUUUCGCCUGUGACGAAGCGUGAGUGACGGUAAUGGGUAAAGAAGCACCGGCUAACUACGUGCCAACAGCCGCGGUGAUACGUAGGGUGCGAGCGUUGUCCGGAUUUAUUGGGAGUAAAGGGCUCGUAGGUGGUUGAUCGCGUCGGAAGUGUAAUCUUGGGGCUUAACCCUGAGCGUGCUUUCGAUACGGGUUGACUUGAAGAAGGUAGGGAGAAAUGGAAUUCCUGGUGGAGCGGUGGAAUGCGCAGAUAUCAGGAGGAACACCAGUGGCGAAGGCGGUUCUCUGGGCCUUUCCUGACGCUGAGGAGCGAAAGCGUGGGGAGCGAACAGGCUUAGAUACCCUGGUAGUCCACGCUGUAAACGGUGGGUACUAGGUGUGGGGUCCAUUCCACGGGUUCCGUGCCGUAGCUAACGCUUUAAGUACCCCGCCUGGGGAGUACGGCCGCAAGGCUAAAACUCAAAGGAAUUGACGGGGCCCCGCACAAGCGGCGGAGCAUGCGGAUUAAUUCGAUGCAACGCGUAAAACCUUACCUGGGUUUGACAUGGAUCGGGAGUGCUCAGAGAUGGGUGUGCCUCUUUUGGGGUCGGUUCACAGGUGGUGCAUGCCUGUCGUCAGCUCGUGUCGUGAGAUGUUGGGUUAAGUCCCGCAACGAGCGCAACCCUUGUUCACUGUUGCCAGCACGUUAUGGUGGGGACUCAGUGGAGACCGCCGGGGUCAACUCGGAGGAAGGUGGGGAUGACGUCAAGUCCUCAUGCCCCUUAUGUCCAGGGCUUCACGCAUGCUACAAUGGCUGGUACAGAGAGUGGCGAGCCUGUGAGGGUGAGCGAAUCUCGGAAAGCCGGUCUCAGUUCGGAUUGGGGUCUGCAACUCGACCUCAUGAAGUCGGAGUCGCUAGUAAUCGCAGAUCAGCAACGCUGCGGUGAAUACGUUCCCGGGGCU